GCCUCACGUUGCGUAACGCGUCAUCAAACGUUCGCGAAUUUGUUUCGAGCGCGCACACACAUAUAUAAAUAAAUGUUACGAUCGUUCCCAUUGGCCGUCCGAUCGAAUUGCCGUUUGCGGAUUAUACACAUUAUAUUAUAAUGAUAUUCAUACGCACACGUACAUCCGUGUUUAGGACCGUCACCGCCAAUUCCUUUCACGACGAUAAUUUUUAUUUACAAUUUUUUUUUUUUGAGACUUCGGUCCGACGCCUGACGGGCCUCAAACACGUUUAUGACGUUUUGUAUGAAAGUCCACGUAGGUGGACGUAAACGAUUCGAUUGCGUUUUGGUGAACUUUUUGAAAUCGCCAUGCUUAUAAGUUAUAAACAUAGUAAAAUAAGGUUACCAACACUCAGAAAAUGCAAAUCGUUUAAGGCCACUGAACUGCCUUGAAUCAUGAAAUUAAUUUCAGCAAAACAUGUCUGUACCGGAAAAAGUUUAAUACUUUAAGAACAGAAGUAUUUCUAAAAGCUCUUUAGGUAAUAUUUAUUAUAAGAAGGUAUAUAUUAUUAUAUUAUACAGUUUUCAUGUAAUUAUAUAGUUAUCUAGAUUAUUUAUUAGAUAAUUGGUAUAUUUGGUGUCGUUCGAAUAUUUAGAUAAUACUAGUGUGAUUUUUAUUUCAGGCAUUUUAUUAACGAUUUACUUUUAUUAAUUAUUAACGAUGCGCUAAAUUUUUUUUCAAUUUAUUGAAACUUAUUUCUGUAUUUCCUGUUGUUUUCCCAAAUUUAGCUACAGAGAAAUAUAUUUCGGUUUUAUUUUACUUUACUAGUACUAUUAUUAUUAUUGAACAAACGAGGUCUUUAAUUCUAAUUGGUCAAAAAUAGUAGGUAGCUCACAUAUAUACUCUAUAUCGUGUUUGUAAUGACUGCUUAUAAAUUGCAUAUAAUGUAUUCAAGAUAUACGUGCAAUACGUUCUAAAAUAAUUUUAAGAUUUUUAAACUGAAAUUUUGCA
Molecule: long non-coding RNA, 993 nt
Organism: Myzus persicae (green peach aphid)
Lineage: Eukaryota; Metazoa; Arthropoda; Insecta; Hemiptera; Aphididae
Exons: 3
Source: RefSeq, a predicted model, not a curated record